CAAUAGCAGCAAUGACUGACAAGUCAUCACCGAAUGAGGGAAGUGGAAAUAAGGAAUAGGGGAGAUUAUUUUUAAUGACUAUGGCAACACCGCCAUAGCCGUCAGGUCUGUCCUGUCGGAGAAUAACAUAACCUGGAAUUCGAAAUGUCAAUUUCGGGCGAAGCCAUGUUUCCGACAGAGUUGAGACAAAAGGAAAUACCCAAAUUGGACUGGGUGCAAGGAGGCGAUGCCAGUAUCUGAAGAAACUUUUUGCACAUGAACUACAAAUGGCCCUAUGUCAUAGGCCUCAUAAAACGAUCGGCCUGUAGGGUUUUUUGGAGACUGAGAACUAUCUGAUGGGGGGUGUUGUUGGGUAUUAACAGUUACACUUGUAUUAUGUGCUGGGUAACCUUUUUGCUGAAAACUAUCUAUAUCGUUAGCGUUCUUAAUCUCAGUACAUAAUGAGGGAAAUUCAAUAUCCGGUAUUUGGCACGAACAAUCAGUCUCUUUUUGCUUGUUACGACGCGUCGGGUCAAAUCUUUUUUUCCUCUUAUUACAAUGUUUGCAAAUUUUA
Pieris rapae (cabbage white) is the source of this 553-nucleotide long non-coding RNA. RefSeq lists it as uncharacterized. NCBI's taxonomy places the organism in Eukaryota, Metazoa, Arthropoda, Insecta, Lepidoptera, Pieridae. The transcript is spliced from 2 exons. The record is from RefSeq and is a predicted model, not a curated record.